Molecule: long non-coding RNA, 979 nt
Filed under: Homo sapiens (human)
Lineage: Eukaryota; Metazoa; Chordata; Mammalia; Primates; Hominidae
Description: HSALNT0290899
Source: RNAcentral
CCUAACCUCAGGUGAUUCUCCAGCCUUGGCCUCCCAAUGUGCCGGGAUUACAGGCGUGAGCCACGUCGCCCGGCCCUUUGUUUCCCCUUUUAGGCUCCAGGGCAAUGCAAUGUUAAGCCCAGGCUCAGUCUGCUCUAUUGUGUGUGCACGCCAUGGCACCCACUGUGCCCUCACUUGGAUGACCCUCCUUUGUCCCACAGGUAAUUCCUACUGAGCCUUCAAGACCUGGCUGGGCAGUCACCUCCCUCCCCUGACACCAUCGUCUCCCCUGCCUGGGUUGUGGACCCUCCUCUGAGCUUCCGUAUAAAUCAGUACUUCUUAUAAACUGGGUUUCCUGAGAAGGAACUCCUCUGCGCAGUGGGAUAAAUGGAUGUGACCUCUGCUAACCUGGGCCCAGUACAAGCUCUGUAAACCAGGCAGCCAACUGCACCUACCUGCCCGAGGGCACCAGAUGUCAGCAAGAUGAACACUAAAGAUGUCCAGGCAAUGCCAACCCCCGGACCUGAUGGGCAUGUUUACCAGCUGGCAAACGGCGUGGGUGGUGGUUGGUUCCAAGGCACUCCAAAUCCCUGUGCGUCCUGAUCCUGCCCCAGUAAGGAAGCAGCAGGGACUGACUGCUUGACAAGAGGAUCCCGCUCCUCGCAGAACAGAAAUGCUUUCAUUAAAAAAGGGAGGUAUCCCUGCAGUUGGCCUCUCCCAACAGAUUUGUCAAAAGCAGAGGUUUUGCUCUUCCCCUCUGACUCUUAUAAAAGGCCCCAUUUUCUGACUACAUUUCCUGAUAUUCUGUCUUUAAAUCUUCAAGGCAGGUCACCUGCUACAGAAAGCACAAGGGAUCUAGGAUAGAUAAGUCAAAAACCAAAUACAGUAAAAUGUUAAUUGUUGAUUCUAGCUGUGAGAUGUAUGGCUUUUCACUGUACAAGUCUUUCAACUUUUUUUGGUAGAUGUUUGAAAUUUUUCAUAAUAAAAUGCUGGGAAAAAA